This is a non-coding RNA of Populus trichocarpa (black cottonwood), 307 nucleotides long. The record is from Rfam. NCBI's taxonomy places the organism in Eukaryota, Viridiplantae, Streptophyta, Magnoliopsida, Malpighiales, Salicaceae.
CGGCCAUGAACACGGGAGGAAACAGCUUCGGGUGGAAGGAGAGCAUCUCUCUCUUGUUUCUCUCUCUAGCCGAGACUACUAGAGCUCUUUCUUUCUUGAUUCUAUGGGUGGUGGUGCAUGGUCGUUCUUAGUUGGUGGAGCAAUUUAUCUGGUUAAUUCCGUUAACGAACGAGACCUUAGCCUGCUAACUAGCUAUGCAGAGGUGACCUUUCGCGGCCAGCUUCUUAGAGGGACUAUGACUUUCCAGGCUAAGGAAGUUUGAGGCAAUAACAGGUAUGUGAUGCCCUUAGAUGUUCUGGGCCGCACG